CCUACGGGCGGCAGUAGUGAGGAAUAUUGGUCAAUGGGCGGAAGCCUGAACCAGCCAAGUAGCGUGCAGGAUGACGGCCCUACGGGUUGUAAACUGCUUUUAUACGGGAAUAACGCGCCUUACGUGUAGGGCUUUGCAUGUACCGUAUGAAUAAGGAUCGGCUAAUUCCGUGCCAGCAGCCGCGGUAAUACGGAGGGUCCGGGCGUUAUCCGGAUUUAUUGGGUUUAAAGGGAGCGUAGGCCGGAUGUCAAGCGUGCUGUGAAAUGUUCGGGCUCAACCCGGGCCUUGCAGCGCGAACUGGCAUGCUUGAGUCCGCGGAAGGCAGGCGGAAUUCGUGGUGUAGCGGUGAAAUGCUUAGAUAUGACGAAGAACCCCGAUUGCGAAGGCAGCUUGCUGCAGCGGAACUGACGCUGAUGCUCGAAAGCGCGGGUAUCGAACAGGAAUAGAUACCCCAGUAGUC
This 460-nucleotide ribosomal RNA is filed under the name uncultured bacterium. RNAcentral's name for it is "partial 16S ribosomal RNA". It matches the Rfam family "Bacterial small subunit ribosomal RNA", at positions 338 to 795 of the family's 1533-position model. The record is from RNAcentral.